CCUACGGGGGGCUGCAGUAAGGAAUAUUGGUCAAUGGACGGAAGUCUGAACCAGCCAUGCCGCGUGGAGGAUGAAGGUCCUCUGGAUUGUAAACUUCUUUUAUAGGGGGCGAAAAAAGGGAAUUCUUUCUCGUCUGACGGUACCCUAUGAAUAAGCACCGGCUAACUCCGUGCCAGCAGCCGCGGUAAUACGGAGGGUGCAAGCGUUAUCCGGAUUUACUGGGUUUAAAGGGAGCGUAGGCGGAUAUGUAAGUCAGUGGUGAAAGCCCUCAGCUU
Molecule: ribosomal RNA, 275 nt
Filed under: uncultured Niabella sp.
Lineage: Bacteria; Pseudomonadati; Bacteroidota; Chitinophagia; Chitinophagales; Chitinophagaceae
Description: partial 16S ribosomal RNA
Rfam family: Bacterial small subunit ribosomal RNA
Source: RNAcentral